ACGUUUUUAGUUUAAUUUAGGAAAAAACAUCAAUCUUCUAAAUUGAAUAUAUAGGUUCAAUUCCUGUAAAACGUA
Molecule: transfer RNA, 75 nt
Filed under: Choreocolax polysiphoniae
Lineage: Eukaryota; Rhodophyta; Florideophyceae; Gigartinales; Choreocolacaceae
Description: tRNA-Arg
Rfam family: tRNA
About the family: Transfer RNA (tRNA) molecules are approximately 80 nucleotides in length. Their secondary structure includes four short double-helical elements and three loops (D, anti-codon, and T loops).
Source: RNAcentral